UACGUAGGGUGCGAGCGUUAAUCGGAAUUACUGGGCGUAAAGCGUGCGCAGGCGGUUUUGUAAGCCAGAUGUGAAAUCCCCGGGCUUAACCUGGGAAUGGCAUUUGGGACUGCAAGGCUGGAGUGCGGCAGAGGAGACUGGAAUUCCUGGUGUAGCAGUGAAAUGCGUAGAUAUCAGGAGGAGCACCGAUGGCGAAGGCAGGUCUCUGGGCUGACACUGACGCUCAUGCACGAAAGCGUGGGGAGCAAACAGG
RNAcentral lists this ribosomal RNA (253 nucleotides) under uncultured bacterium. Its description in RNAcentral is "partial 16S ribosomal RNA". It matches the Rfam family "Bacterial small subunit ribosomal RNA", at positions 524 to 776 of the family's 1533-position model. The record is from RNAcentral.